Molecule: non-coding RNA, 28 nt
Filed under: Homo sapiens (human)
Lineage: Eukaryota; Metazoa; Chordata; Mammalia; Primates; Hominidae
Source: RNAcentral
UUGCCUCAUGUGGCUGUGCUCUACUUCC